This is a long non-coding RNA of Metopolophium dirhodum (rose-grain aphid), 528 nucleotides long. RefSeq lists it as uncharacterized. The record is from RefSeq and is a predicted model, not a curated record. NCBI's taxonomy places the organism in Eukaryota, Metazoa, Arthropoda, Insecta, Hemiptera, Aphididae. The transcript has 3 exons.
UCUAUCUUUUUUGGAUUGAACCGUGCCCGACGACACACAACAUAUCCUCUACUCCACUGUUUACGGCUGCUACUUUAACUGUUAUACAUUUUUUAAACCACGUUUUCAUCAUCGCCAUGUCCGGAUAAAUGUUUUCAUUUGUAUUCCACUACUAUCAACAUCCACAUCAACUCGCUGAACAUGGAUGAUUAACCGCCUAUCCACGAACGGGACGACCACCGCCUACUGUGUACACUGUACAGUCCGAUGAUUAAUGAUAAAGAUACAAAGACCACAAUUAGUGACAAGCUGGAGUAACUCGAUUACAUACACGAGAAUGAUUCGUCUACGGGCAGCGCUUUUCAUGAAGGCAAUCGAGCAGAGAAUUGUUGAAUGCAUUGAUAACGCAGUCCGUACCUCAGUUUCAAUAACAUGGGAAAAAAGAUUGACCUAUUGCUAGAAAGUCAAAACAAUCGUCUUCCGUGUACAGUCUGAUGAUUAUUGAUAAAGAAACAUGGGCCACAAUUAAUGAAAAGCUGAAGUAUCUCG